RNAcentral lists this ribosomal RNA (303 nucleotides) under Bacteroidota bacterium. RNAcentral describes it as "Bacteroidetes bacterium (marine metagenome) partial 23S ribosomal RNA". It matches the Rfam family "Bacterial large subunit ribosomal RNA", at positions 2623 to 2925 of the family's 2925-position model. The record is from RNAcentral. Lineage: Bacteria; Pseudomonadati; Bacteroidota.
GAGACAGUUCGGUCCCUAUCUGUUGUGGGCGUUAGAAGUUUGAGAAGACCUGACUCUAGUACGAGAGGACCGAGUUGGACAAACCUCUGGUAUACCUGUUGUGACGCCAGUUGCAUCGCAGGGUAGCCACGUUUGGAAGAGAUAAGCACUGAAAGCAUCUAAGUGCGAAGCUCACUUCAAGAUUAGACUUCUGUUUUAAGGGUCGUUAAAGACUAUAACGUUGAUAGGCUGCAGGUGUAAGAGCAGAAAUGUUUUUAGCUGAGCAGUACUAAUUACCCGUAAGCUUUCUAAUUUUUUUAAAUA